This 801-nucleotide ribosomal RNA is filed under the name uncultured bacterium. RNAcentral describes it as "bacterial SSU rRNA". It matches the Rfam family "Bacterial small subunit ribosomal RNA", at positions 544 to 1351 of the family's 1533-position model. The record is from RNAcentral.
CCUGGAUUUAUUGGGUUUAAAGGGUGCGUAGGCGGCCUUGUAAGUCAGCGGUGAAAUUUUGCAGCUUAACUGUAAAAGUGCCGUUGAUACUGUGAGGCUAGGAUUUGGUUGCUGUGGGUGGAAUGUGUGGUGUAGCGGUGAAAUGCUUAGAGAUCACACAGAAUAUCGAUUGCGAAGGCAGCUCACAAAGCCAAGAUUGACGCUGAGGCACGAAAGUGUGGGGAUCAAACAGGAUUAGAUACCCUGGUAGUCCACACUGUAAACGAUGAUAACUCGCUGUCGGCGAUAUACAGUCGGUGGCCAAGCGAAAGCGAUAAGUUAUCCACCUGGGGAGUACGACCGCAAGGUUGAAACUCAAAGGAAUUGACGGGGGCCCGCACAAGCGGAGGAACAUGUGGUUUAAUUCGAUGAUACGCGAGGAACCUUACCCGGGCUCGAACGGUGCAGGAAUAUGGUAGAGAUAUCAUAGCUAGCAAUAGUCUGUAUCGAGGUGCUGCAUGGUUGUCGUCAGCUCGUGCCGUGAGGUGUCGGCUUAAUUGCCAUAACGAGCGCAACCCUUGUCAUUAGUUACCAUCAGGUCAAGCUGGGGACUCUAAUGAGACUGCCACCGUAAGGUGAGAGGAAGGGGGGGAUGACGUCAAAUCAGCACGGCCCUUAUGUCCGGGGCGACACACGUGUUACAAUGGGGGGUACAGAGGGCAGCCAUCCGGCGAGGAGCGCCAUCUCAAAAACCUUCUCAGUUCGGAUUGUAGUCUGCGACCCGCCUCUCUGAAGUUGUGAUUCGCUAGUAAUCGCGCACAU